RNAcentral lists this ribosomal RNA (546 nucleotides) under uncultured marine eukaryote. Its description in RNAcentral is "SSU rRNA". It matches the Rfam family "Eukaryotic small subunit ribosomal RNA", at positions 614 to 1168 of the family's 1831-position model. The record is from RNAcentral.
UGCGGUUGAAAAGCUCGUAGUCGGAGAUCUGCACUAAAGACGAUGUCUACCCAGCGGGUAUGUCAUCAAUAACUUGCGUGCAUCCUUCUGGGGACACGGUUUCCACUUGAUUGUGGAAUCGCUGACUUCAGAACCUUUACUUUGAGGAAACGAGAGUGUUUCAAGCAGGUGCCAGCCGUGGAUAUGUUAGCAUGGAAUAACAGUAUCGAACCGUCGUGUAGCUCUUGGUGUGCAGCGACGGUAAAGGUAAAAAGGGACAGUUGGGGGUAUUCGUAUUCAACUGUCAGAGGUGAAAUUCUUGGAUUUGUUGAAGACGGACUACUGCGAAAGCAUUUGCCAAAGAUGUUCUCAUUGAUCAAGAACGAAAGUUAGGUGAUCGAAGACGAUCAGAUACCGUCCUAGUCUUAACCAUAAACUAUGCCAACUGGAGAUGGGGACUGAUCAUUCUGUGACACUUUCUGCAUCUUGAAAAAAAUCAAAGUCUUUGGGUUCCGGGGGGAGUAUGGUCGCAAAGCUGAAACUUAAAGAAAUUGACGGAAGGGCACC